AUUGAACGCUGGCGGCAGGCCUAACACAUGCAAGUCGAACGGUAACAGGAAGCAGCUUGCUGCUUCGCUGACGAGUGGCGGACGGGUGAGUAAUGUCUGGGAAGCUGCCUGAUGGAGGGGGAUAACUACUGGAAACGGUAGCUAAUACCGCAUAAUGUCGCAAGACCAAAGAGGGGGACCUUCGGGCCUCUUGCCAUCGGAUGUGCCCAGAUGGGAUUAGCUUGUUGGUGGGGUAACGGCUCACCAAGGCGACGAUCCCUAGCUGGUCUGAGAGGAUGACCAGCCACACUGGGACUGAGACACGGUCCAGACUCCUACGGGAGGCAGCAGUGGGGAAUAUUGCACAAUGGGCGCAAGCCUGAUGCAGCCAUGCCGCGUGUAUGAAGAUGGCCUUCGGGUUGUAAAGUACUUUCAGCGGGGAGGAAGGGAGUAAAGUUAAUACCUUUGCUCAUUGACGUUACCCGCAGAAGAAGCACCCGCUAACUCCGUG
RNAcentral lists this ribosomal RNA (490 nucleotides) under uncultured bacterium. RNAcentral's name for it is "partial 16S ribosomal RNA". It matches the Rfam family "Bacterial small subunit ribosomal RNA", at positions 30 to 507 of the family's 1533-position model. The record is from RNAcentral.